RNAcentral lists this ribosomal RNA (683 nucleotides) under uncultured fungus. Its description in RNAcentral is "eukaryotic LSU rRNA". The stretch from base 1 to 580 matches the Rfam family "Eukaryotic large subunit ribosomal RNA", at positions 87 to 664 of the family's 3401-position model. The record is from RNAcentral. Lineage: Eukaryota; Fungi.
CGGCGAGUGAAGCGGGAAGAGCUCAAGUUUAAAAUCGAUGUGCUUUAGUACGUCGAGUUGUAGUCUCGAGACAGGCUGUCUGUGGUGACGUCGGUACAAGUACCUUGGAAGAGGUUAUCAGAGAGGGUGACAAUCCCGUCGCUGACCGACAGUUCGCCACUUUCGACGUUUGUUCACAGAGUCGGAUUGCUUGGGAGUGCAGUCCUAAUUGGGUGGUAAAUUUCAUCUAAAGCUAAAUAUUGACGAGAGACCGAUAGCGAACAAGUACCGUGAGGGAAAGAUGAAAAGAACUUUGAAAAGAGAGUCAAAAAGUACUUGAACUUGUUAAGAGGGAAGAGUUGAAAACUAGUGUUACUUGUAGUUACUUUCCCGAUCUGACUGAAACGUGUGCGUAUUAAGUCGUUAAAGCUUGAUGCGUAUUUGAAUUAGUUGGAACGGUCCCUGUAAUUAUGAGUGGUCAGCAUCAUUUCGAAGUGUGGGAGAAAGCUAUGUGGAAGGUAGGGUUUCUUCGGAAACUUAUUAUAGACAUGUAGCCAUACCAUGCUUUGGAUUGAGGAUGUAUCGGCGCUCCGUUUUACGGAGUGACCACCUAUUGCCUCAUAUUCUUCGAGCGUUAGAAAACAAUGUUUUGUGAUGUUUGGAGGGUGUGACUGUGGUGGGGCGUCACUGCGCCGACGCGAUGC